ACACACACACACACACACACAGAUAUAUAUAGAUAUAUAAUUAUCGCUAUUUUUAAACAAAUAUGCAUAAUUAUUGCUAGUUAUUUUAAAUAAUUAUUUUGUGUGUGUGUGUGUGUGUGUGUGUGUGUGU
Molecule: non-coding RNA, 130 nt
Organism: Podarcis lilfordi (Lilford's wall lizard)
Lineage: Eukaryota; Metazoa; Chordata; Lepidosauria; Squamata; Lacertidae
Source: the annotation of a GenBank genome assembly